Molecule: transfer RNA, 72 nt
Filed under: Ipomoea nil (Japanese morning glory)
Lineage: Eukaryota; Viridiplantae; Streptophyta; Magnoliopsida; Solanales; Convolvulaceae
Rfam family: tRNA
About the family: Transfer RNA (tRNA) molecules are approximately 80 nucleotides in length.
Source: Rfam by way of RNAcentral
GGAUUUGUGGCGCAUUGGUAGUGCGUCUGACUCCAGAUCAGAAUGUUGUGUGUUUGAUUCACAUCGGGUCCA